RNAcentral lists this ribosomal RNA (548 nucleotides) under Nemipterus nemurus (redspine threadfin bream). Its description in RNAcentral is "partial 16S ribosomal RNA". It matches the Rfam family "Bacterial large subunit ribosomal RNA", at positions 1857 to 2586 of the family's 2925-position model. The record is from RNAcentral. Lineage: Eukaryota; Metazoa; Chordata; Actinopteri; Spariformes; Nemipteridae.
GCCUGCCCAGUGACUCUAUGUUCAACGGCCGCGGUAUCCUGACCGUGCCAAGGUAGCGCAAUCACUUGCCCUUUAAAUGGGGGCCUGUAUGAAUGGUGUAACGAGGGCUAAUCUGUCUCCUUUCCCUGGUCAAUGAAAUUGAUCUCCCCGUGCAGAAGCGGGGAUAAAUUCAUAAGACGAGAAGACCCUGUGGAGCUUUAGGUACUAAUAUUGACCCACUAAACAUAUUCAAAUAAAAGUAUUCAAGAAGGGAUGCGAUAAGAUUAUCUUUGGUUGGGGCGACCACGGAGAUUAAAAAAACCUCCAUGUGGACUAGGAAUAUGUAGACCUUUCUAAUUUUCAUUCCCACUAUCGAGAGUAACCACUCUAAACUGACAGAAUUUCUGACUUACUAUGAUCCGACAAAGUCGAUCAACGGACCAAGUUACCCCAGGGAUAACAGCGCAAUCCCCCUUAAGAGUUCAUAUCGACGGGGGGGUUUACGACCUCGAUGUUGGAUCAGGACAUCCUAUUGGCGCAGCAGCUAUUAAGGGUUCGUUUGUUCAACG